GGUAAACGUCUCUGCUUCUUAAUCCUCGGUAAACUGUAUUUUUGGAAUAUGAGCUAUCUUGUCCCAAUCCUCCCAUGUUCCCUCUUUGCAUCGUUCCUCUAAUGUUGGGCAUUCCCAAAUUGUCAGAACCUCAAGAGAAGUGAGGUGUCGAAUACCCUCCGGCAAGCAUCGCAAUCCUUUACAGCUAUAAAUCUGUAGAUUUCGAAGGGAAGUGAGGUGUCGAAUACCCUCCGGCAAGCAUCUCAAUCCUCUACAACUCGAAAUGUGUAGAGCUCGAAGGGAUUGAAGACCUUCCCAAUUUUGCUCUGGUAAGGACUCCAAUUGUGGGAACCAAUCUACUUCCAGAUAUUGAAGACAAGUA
RNAcentral lists this long non-coding RNA (361 nucleotides) under Medicago truncatula (barrel medic). Its description in RNAcentral is "long non-coding RNA (MTRU_LNC003461)". Lineage: Eukaryota; Viridiplantae; Streptophyta; Magnoliopsida; Fabales; Fabaceae. The record is from RNAcentral.